This 887-nucleotide ribosomal RNA is filed under the name Salmonella enterica subsp. enterica serovar Paratyphi A. Its description in RNAcentral is "16S ribosomal RNA". The record is from RNAcentral. Lineage: Bacteria; Pseudomonadati; Pseudomonadota; Gammaproteobacteria; Enterobacterales; Enterobacteriaceae.
UUUUCAUCAGACAAUCUGUGUGAGCACUGCAAAGUACGCUUCUUUAAGGUAAGGAGGUGAUCCAACCGCAGGUUCCCCUACGGUUACCUUGUUACGACUUCACCCCAGUCAUGAAUCACAAAGUGGUAAGCGCCCUCCCGAAGGUUAAGCUACCUACUUCUUUUGCAACCCACUCCCAUGGUGUGACGGGCGGUGUGUACAAGGCCCGGGAACGUAUUCACCGUGGCAUUCUGAUCCACGAUUACUAGCGAUUCCGACUUCAUGGAGUCGAGUUGCAGACUCCAAUCCGGACUACGACGCACUUUAUGAGGUCCGCUUGCUCUCGCGAGGUCGCUUCUCUUUGUAUGCGCCAUUGUAGCACGUGUGUAGCCCUGGUCGUAAGGNNNNNNNNNNNNNNNNNNNNCCAUGAUGACUUGACGUCAUCCCCACCUUCCUCCAGUUUAUCACUGGCAGUCUCCUUUGAGUUCCCGGCCGGACCGCUGGCAACAAAGGAUAAGGGUUGCGCUCGUUGCGGGACUUAACCCAACAUUUCACAACACGAGCUGACGACAGCCAUGCAGCACCUGUCUCACGGUUCCCGAAGGCACAUUCUCAUCUCUGAAAACUUCCGUGGAUGUCAAGACCAGGUAAGGUUCUUCGCGUUGCAUCGAAUUAAACCACAUGCUCCACCGCUUGUGCGGGCCCCCGUCAAUUCAUUUGAGUUUUAACCUUGCGGCCGUACUCCCCAGGCGGUCUACUUAACGCGUUAGCUCCGGAAGCCACGCCUCAAGGGCACAACCUCCAAGUAGACAUCGUUUACGGCGUGGACUACCAGGGUAUCUAAUCCUGUUUGCUCCCCACGCUUUCGCACCUGAGCGUCAGUCUUUGUCCAGGGGGCCGCCUUCGCC